GACGAACGCUGGCGGCGUGCUUAAUACAUGCAAGUCGAACGGAAAGGCCCUGCUUUUGUGGGGUGCUCGAGUGGCGAAAGGGUGAGUAAAACGUGUGUAUACUGCCCUUGACAUUGGGAUAACUUAAGGAAACUGGGGCUAAUACCGGAUAGGAGCUCCUGAUGCAUGGUGGGGGUUGGAAAGAUUGGGCGGUUGGGGAUGGACGCGCGGCUAAUCAGCUUGCUGGUGGGGGAGUGGCUUACCAAGGCUUUGCCGGGUAGCCGGCCUGAGAGGGUGACCGGCGACAAUGGGACUGCGAGACGGCCCAGACGCCUACGGGAGGCAGCAGUGGGGAAUAUGGCACAAUGGGCGGAAGUCUGAGGCAGCGGUGCCGCGAUCGUGAUGACGUCCUUCGGGUGGUAAACCGCUUUCGCCUGUGACGAAGCGUGAGUGACGGUAAUGGGUAAGGAAGCACCGGCUAACUACGUG
This 468-nucleotide ribosomal RNA is filed under the name uncultured bacterium. RNAcentral describes it as "partial 16S ribosomal RNA". It matches the Rfam family "Bacterial small subunit ribosomal RNA", at positions 28 to 507 of the family's 1533-position model. The record is from RNAcentral.